RNAcentral lists this ribosomal RNA (453 nucleotides) under beta proteobacterium 4l'. RNAcentral describes it as "SSU rRNA". It matches the Rfam family "Bacterial small subunit ribosomal RNA", at positions 12 to 465 of the family's 1533-position model. Lineage: Bacteria; Pseudomonadati; Pseudomonadota; Betaproteobacteria. The record is from RNAcentral.
UUUGAUCAUGGCUCAGAUUGAACGCUGGCGGCAUGCCUUACACAUGCAAGUCGAACGGCAGCACGGGGGCAACCCUGGUGGCGAGUGGCGAACGGGUGAGUAACAUAUCGGAACGUGCCCUGGAGUGGGGGAUAACUAGUCGAAAGAUUAGCUAAUACCGCAUACGAUCUACGGAUGAAAGUGGGGGAUCGCAAGACCUCAUGCUCGUGGAGCGGCCGAUAUCUGAUUAGCUAGUUGGUGGGGUAAAGGCCUACCAAGGCAUCGAUCAGUAGCUGGUCUGAGAGGACGACCAGCCACACUGGGACUGAGACACGGCCCAGACUCCUACGGGAGGCAGCAGUGGGGAAUUUUGGACAAUGGGCGCAAGCCUGAUCCAGCAAUGCCGCGUGAGUGAAGAAGGCCUUCGGGUUGUAAAGCUCUUUUGUCAGGGAAGAAACGGUGAGGGUAAUAUCC